AUGUCUUCCCUAGCCCUAAUCGCCGCCGACUCGAGGAGCCGUGGCGGUGGUUCAGCGCUGGGAUUUGUCGUCGUACACUGCCGAGAGGCCUCCCUCCGCCGUGCUAGCUCCGCCAUCAGGACCAGCACUUCGCCGCCAACCACGCCGUUGGAAAUUAGGGAGCCCGGCCGUGUCGUCGGACAUCAUGCGGCCCAGAUGAGCCGCCGUUCCUUGCUGGCGUCAGCGGGCCCGCUGGACGACGAGGAUCUCCUCCGAGAGAUCCUCCUCCGUCUCCCUCCGAAUCCAUCCUCCCUCCCACGUGCCUCGCUUGUCUGCACACGUUGGCGCACCAUUCUCGCUGACCCACAAUUUCUCCGCCGCUUCCGCAAACACCACAGAAACCCUCCAUUGCUGGGCUUCUUCUUCACAGAUGGUGAAUUCACUCCCAUAAUGGACCCUCCCGACAGCAUCCGUGUUGAGCGCUUCUCCGUGCCCAAGAUCCGAACCCCCAAGAGGUCUUGGUGGAACCUCAUAUGCUGCCGCCAUGGCCUCGCCGUACUAGUUAACUGGUUGCAGCCAGGCCCGGCCCAUAGGCCGGGCAAACGGGGCGCCCGCCCUGGCCCCUGGGAAUCAGGGGCCCCGGCCCAGGGAUCUCUCUCCACGGCGGCGUCUCCUCCUCUUCCCAAAUUUCCGAUCUCAGUCUCCAAGAACAGCGCCGCCUCUCCCAUGCCUUUCUGA
RNAcentral lists this ribosomal RNA (717 nucleotides) under Triticum aestivum (bread wheat). Its description in RNAcentral is "partial small subunit ribosomal RNA". Lineage: Eukaryota; Viridiplantae; Streptophyta; Magnoliopsida; Poales; Poaceae. The record is from RNAcentral.